This 774-nucleotide ribosomal RNA is filed under the name uncultured Neocallimastigales. RNAcentral's name for it is "partial large subunit ribosomal RNA". It matches the Rfam family "Eukaryotic large subunit ribosomal RNA", at positions 26 to 628 of the family's 3401-position model. The record is from RNAcentral. Lineage: Eukaryota; Fungi; Neocallimastigomycota; Neocallimastigomycetes; Neocallimastigales.
CGUCUAUAUACGUAUAGCAUAUCAAUAAGCGGAGGAAAAGAAACUAACUAGGAUUCCCUCAGUAACGGCGAGUGAAGCGGGAAGAGCUCAAAUUUGAAAUCUUCAAGGUUCUACCUUGACGAAUUGUAGUUUAAAGAAGUGUUUUCUGUUGGAGUUUUGGUAAAAGUUCUUUGGAAUAGGACAUCAUAGAGGGUGAGAAUCCCGUAUUUGACCAUUACUUCCAGCGUUGUGAUACGCUUUCAAAGAGUCGGAUUGUUUGGGAAUGCAGUCCAAAAUGGGUGGUAAAUUUCAUCUAAAGCUAAAUAUUGGCGAGAGACCGAUAGCGAACAAGUACCGUGAGGGAAGGAUGAAAAGAACUUUGAAAAGAGAGUUAAACAGUACGUGAAAUUGUCAAAAGGGAAGCGUUUGACACCAGUGUUGUUUUCUCGAAAAUCAAUUAAAAAUGGCAGGAUUUUGUGUUGUAUUGACUUUAUCAGCUUUCUGCACUUUUUUCCUGUCUUUUUUAAUGCACUUUUCGUUUAACAAGUCAACAUCAAUUUCUUUUGUUGUAAAAGGGUCAUUGGAAGGUGGCUUUCUUUUCGGAGAAAGUGUUUAUAGCCUUUGACUUCUGCAAUCGGAGAGAUUGAGGUCUGCAGCGUAGAUCCUUCGGGGUUAGAUACAUUUGUGCUAAGCUAUAGCCUUUCAUAGACAACUUGUUGACUAUGAUCAGUCAUGUAGCUUACUCGCUUAUGUCAUUUUACCUACGCUUAGGAUGUUGACGAUCAGCUGAGCGCG